AAUAUUGGACAACGGGGGCAACCCUGAUCCAGCCAUGCCGCGCGUGUGAAGAAGGUCUUCGGAUUGUAAAGCACUUUAAGUUGGGAGGAGGGGCAUUAGGUUAAUACCCUGACGUGUUGAUGUUACCAACAGAAUAAGCACCGGCCAACUCUGCGCCAGCCGCCGCGGUAAUACAGAGGGUGGAGGCGUUAAGAGGAAUUACUGGGCGUAAAGCGCGCGUAGGUGGUUCAGUAAGAUGGGUGUGAAAUCCCCGGGCUUAACCUGGGAACUGCUUUCAUAACUGCUGAGCUAGAGUACGGUAGAGGGUAGUGGAAUUUCCUGUGUAGCGGUGAAAUGCGUGGAUAUAGGAAGGAACACCAGUGGCGAAGGCGACUACCUGGACUGAUACUGACACUGAGGUGCGAAAGCGUGGGGAGCAAAC
Molecule: ribosomal RNA, 421 nt
Filed under: uncultured bacterium
Lineage: Bacteria
Description: partial 16S ribosomal RNA
Rfam family: Bacterial small subunit ribosomal RNA
Source: RNAcentral